RNAcentral lists this ribosomal RNA (1337 nucleotides) under uncultured bacterium. RNAcentral's name for it is "bacterial SSU rRNA". It matches the Rfam family "Bacterial small subunit ribosomal RNA", at positions 28 to 1381 of the family's 1533-position model. The record is from RNAcentral.
GACGAACGCUGGCGGCGUGCUUAACACAUGCAAGUCGAACGGAAAGGCCCUUCGGGGUACUCGAGUGGCGAACGGGUGAGUAACACGUGGGUGAUCUGCCCUGCACUUUGGGAUAAGCCUGGGAAACUGGGUCUAAUACCGAAUAGGACCACGCGCUUCAUGGUGUGUGGUGGAAAGCUUUUGCGGUGUGGGAUGGGCCCGCGGCCUAUCAGCUUGUUGGUGGGGUAAUGGCCUACCAAGGCGACGACGGGUAGCCGGCCUGAGAGGGUGACCGGCCACACUGGGACUGAGAUACGGCCCAGACUCCUACGGGAGGCAGCAGUGGGGAAUAUUGCACAAUGGGCGCAAGCCUGAUGCAGCGACGCCGCGUGAGGGAUGACGGCCUUCGGGUUGUAAACCUCUUUCAAUAGGGACGAAGCGCAAGUGACGGUACCUAUAGAAGAAGCACCGGCCAACUACGUGCCAGCAGCCGCGGUAAUACGUAGGGUGCGAGCGUUGUCCGGAAUUACUGGGCGUAAAGAGCUCGUAGGUGGUUUGUCGCGUUGUUCGUGAAAACUCACAGCUUAACUGUGGGCGUGCGGGCGAUACGGGCAGACUAGAGUACUGCAGGGGAGACUGGAAUUCCUGGUGUAGCGGUGGAAUGCGCAGAUAUCAGGAGGAACACCGGUGGCGAAGGCGGGUCUCUGGGCAGUAACUGACGCUGAGGAGCGAAAGCGUGGGGAGCGAACAGGAUUAGAUACCCUGGUAGUCCACGCCGUAAACGGUGGGUACUAGGUGUGGGUUCCUUCCUUGGGAUCCGUGCCGUAGCUAACGCAUUAAGUACCCCGCCUGGGGAGUACGGCCGCAAGGCUAAAACUCAAAGGAAUUGACGGGGGCCCGCACAAGCGGCGGAGCAUGUGGAUUAAUUCGAUGCAACGCGAAGAACCUUACCUGGGUUUGACAUGCACAGGACGCCGGCAGAGAUGUCGGUUCCCUUGUGGCCUGUGUGCAGGUGGUGCAUGGCUGUCGUCAGCUCGUGUCGUGAGAUGUUGGGUUAAGUCCCGCAACGAGCGCAACCCUUGUCCUAUGUUGCCAGCGGGUUAUGCCGGGGACUCGUAGGAGACUGCCGGGGUCAACUCGGAGGAAGGUGGGGAUGACGUCAAGUCAUCAUGCCCCUUAUGUCCAGGGCUUCACACAUGCUACAAUGGCCGGUACAAAGGGCUGCGAUGCCGUGAGGUGGAGCGAAUCCUUUCAAAGUCGGUCUCAGUUCGGAUCGGGGUCUGCAACUCGACCCCGUGAAGUCGGAGUCGCUAGUAAUCGCAGAUCAGCAACGCUGCGGUGAAUACGUUCCCGGGCCU